This 275-nucleotide ribosomal RNA is filed under the name uncultured prokaryote. Its description in RNAcentral is "partial 16S ribosomal RNA". It matches the Rfam family "Bacterial small subunit ribosomal RNA", at positions 524 to 800 of the family's 1533-position model. The record is from RNAcentral.
UACGUAGGGGCUAGCGUUAUCCGGAAUUACUGGGCGUAAAGGGUGCGUAGGUGGUUUCUUAAGUCAGAGGUGAAAGGCUACGGCUCAACCGUAGUAAGCCUUUGAAACUGGGAAACUUGAGUGCAGGAGAGGAGAGUGGAAUUCCUAGUGUAGCGGUGAAAUGCGUAGAUAUUAGGAGGAACACCAGUUGCGAAGGCGGCUCUCUGGACUGUAACUGACACUGAGGCACGAAAGCGUGGGGAGCAAACAGGAUUAGAUACCCUGGUAGUCCCUGA